AGAAUUCGGUCUCGUUGGUGACCAGCGGAGGGAUCAUUACCGAGUUUACAAACUCCCAAACCCUUUGUGAACCUUACCUAUCGUUGCUUCGGCGGGAUCGCCCCGGCGCCUUCGGGCCCGGAACCAGGCGCCCGCCGGAGGCCCCAAACUCUUAUGUCUUUAGUGGUUUUCUCCUCUGAGUGACACAUAAACAAAUAAAUAAAAACUUUCAACAACGGAUCUCUUGGUUCUGGCAUCGAUGAAGAACGCAGCGAAAUGCGAUAAGUAAUGUGAAUUGCAGAAUUCAGUGAAUCAUCGAAUCUUUGAACGCACAUUGCGCCCGCCAGUAUUCUGGCGGGCAUGCCUGUUCGAGCGUCAUUUCAACCCUCAGGCCCCCAGUGCCUGGCGUUGGGGAUCGGCGUGGGCGGCGACGGCUCUCCGGAGCCCGAGCCAAUGCCUGCCGGCCCCGAAAUUCAGUGGCGGUCUCGCUGUAGUCCCCCUCUGCGUAGUAGCACAACUCGCAUUGGAGCUCGGCGGUGGCCAUGCCGUAAAACACCCCACUUCUGAAAGUUGACCUCGGAUCAGGUAGGAAUACCCGCUGAACUUAAGCAUAUCAAA
RNAcentral lists this ribosomal RNA (597 nucleotides) under fungal endophyte. Its description in RNAcentral is "eukaryotic LSU rRNA". The stretch from base 204 to 357 matches the Rfam family "5.8S ribosomal RNA". The record is from RNAcentral. Lineage: Eukaryota; Fungi.